RNAcentral lists this ribosomal RNA (970 nucleotides) under uncultured bacterium. RNAcentral's name for it is "bacterial SSU rRNA". It matches the Rfam family "Bacterial small subunit ribosomal RNA", at positions 11 to 1021 of the family's 1533-position model. The record is from RNAcentral.
GUUUGAUCCUGGCUCAGGAUGAACGCUGGCGGUAUGCUUAACACAUGCAAGUCGAACGGGACCUUUCGGGGUCCAGUGGCGGACGGGUGAGUAACGCGUGAGAAUCUAGCUUCAGGUUGGGGACAACCACUGGAAACGGUGGCUAAUACCGAAUAAGCCGAAAGGUGAAAGAUUAAUUGCCUGGAGAUGAGCUCGCGUCUGAUUAGCUAGUUGGUAGGGUAAAGGCCUACCAAGGCAUCGAUCAGUAGCUGGUCUGAGAGGACGAUCAGCCACACUGGGACUGAGACACGGCCCAGACUCCUACGGGAGGCAGCAGUGGGGAAUUUUCCGCAAUGGGCGAAAGCCUGACGGAGCAAUACCGCGUGAGGGAGGAAGGCUCUUGGGUCGUAAACCUCUUUUCUCAGGGAAGAACAAAAUGACGGUACCUGAGGAAUAAGCAUCGGCUAACUCCGUGCCAGCAGCCGCGGUAAUACGGAGGAUGCAAGCGUUAUCCGGAAUGAUUGGGCGUAAAGCGUCCGCAGGUGGCAGUGUAAGUCUGCUGUCAAAGGUCAGGGCUUAACUCUGAACAGGCAGUGGAAACUACGCAGCUAGAGUGCGGUGGGGGCAGAGGGAAUUCCCAGUGUAGCGGUGAAAUGCGUAGAUAUUGGGAAGAACACCAGCGGCGAAAGCGUGUGACUGGGUCUGCACUGACACUGAGGGACGAAAGCUAGGGGAGCGAAAGGGAUUAGAUACCCCUGUAGUCCUAGCCGUAAACGAUGACAACUAGGUGUGGUUCGUAUCGACCCGAGCCGUGCCGUAGCCAACGCGUUAAAGUUGUCCGCCUGGGGAGUACGCACGCAAGUGUGAAACUCAAAGGAAUUGACGGGGGCCCGCACAAGCGGUGGAGUAUGUGGUUUAAUUCGAUGCAACGCGAAGAACCUCACCAAGGCUUGACAUCCUCGGAAUCUUCUUGAAAGGGAAGAGUGCCUUC